Molecule: long non-coding RNA, 826 nt
Organism: Drosophila biarmipes
Lineage: Eukaryota; Metazoa; Arthropoda; Insecta; Diptera; Drosophilidae
Exons: 3
Source: RefSeq, a predicted model, not a curated record
AGCAGUGCCGGCUACGUCGAUUAGUUAAAUAGUGAAAAGAGAGAUUACAAACAAAAUUUAGGAAAUUAUUAGUGUCUAAUUGUUGGGCAUUCAAUACCGCAGAUUUUAGUAAUCAUAUAGAAGUUUUAGAUUUUUUAAUGCAGAGGAGUUAGGUGUAUGAACAAAUGUCGAACCCCCAGUUUUGCAAAAUAGCGGUAUGUUAAAUGACAAGCUUUGCCAAUAACACAAUUAGCCGCGAAUGCGCCAUAGACUUAUUUAAAAUUUCAAACUAAGAAAAAUUUGACUUAAGUUCCUUUUAUAUGUCUUCUUGUCUCUCCAAGCCAAUUAUUUCGCGUGUAUCAGGUGGCCAAUAUUUACAUGUAUGAGAUAAAAAUUAACUUUGAAGUUAAUUAACUGCUAUCAGAGUGAAAAUCAGUUAGUGUUAGACAUUAAUAAAGACCGACUGUCAGCUCAGCUCUGGUCCAUUUUGCUAAGUAUAAUAAUUUUGUAAAUAAAACAGUUAUUUGUGUAGGAGUUUUUCUGAGAUACACAAAACCAUAGAACUGUGAUAAUUACUUAGGUCCGUUGCUUGAAGAAUUAUAUAAAUGUGAAAAUUAGGGCAAUUGUAUGCGAUGCUACUGCCAGGGCUUUUAUUAGUGGAACACCAGGUCAUACUUCCCGACAUGGUUGGUCAAAAAUCUCAGAGCGCAGCUGUGCAGCUUCACAAAUGUUUCCUUUGACAAUCCUCUUCAACAGCCGUUAGUGUGAACAAGUUGUUGCGAAGUCCAGAGACAAAAUGCGGAAACGUGUUUUUUGUGUGAAUAAAAUGUGAAAUGGCUUACCAUAA